This 298-nucleotide ribosomal RNA is filed under the name uncultured bacterium. RNAcentral's name for it is "partial 16S ribosomal RNA". It matches the Rfam family "Bacterial small subunit ribosomal RNA", at positions 475 to 776 of the family's 1533-position model. The record is from RNAcentral.
CUAUGCGCCUUGCCAGCCCGCUCAGGUGUGCCAGCAGCCGCGGUAAUACGUAGGGGCAAGCGUUAUCCGGAUUUACUGGGUGUAAAGGGAGCGUAGACGGCAGUGUAAGUCUGGAGUGAAAGGCGGGGGCUCAACCCCCGGACUGCUCUGGAAACUGUACAGCUGGAGUGCAGGAGAGGUAAGUGGAAUUCCUAGUGUAGCGGUGAAAUGCGUAGAUAUUAGGAGGAACACCAGUGGCGAAGGCGGCCUGCUGGACGGCGACUGACGUUGAGGCUCGAAAGCGUGGGGAGCGAACAGG